RNAcentral lists this ribosomal RNA (473 nucleotides) under uncultured bacterium. RNAcentral's name for it is "bacterial SSU rRNA". It matches the Rfam family "Bacterial small subunit ribosomal RNA", at positions 28 to 507 of the family's 1533-position model. The record is from RNAcentral.
GAUGAACGCUAGCUACAGGCUUAACACAUGCAAGUCGCGGGGUCUGUUUCGGCAGACGACCGGCGCACGGGUGAGUAACGCGUAUCCAACCUGCCCCUCUCUUUGGCAUAGCCUUUCGAAAGAGAGAUUAAUUCCGAAUAACAUAGUUAGAUUGCAUGAUAUGACUAUGAAAGCUCCGGCGGAGAGGGAUGGGGAUGCGUUCCAUUAGGUAGUAGGCGGGGUAACAGCCCACCUAGCCGACGAUGGAUAGGGGUUCUGAGAGGAAGGUCCCCCACAUUGGAACUGAGACACGGUCCAAACUCCUACGGGAGGCAGCAGUGAGGAAUAUUGGUCAAUGGGCGGAAGCCUGAACCAGCCAAGUAGCGUGAAGGAUUACAGCCCUACGGGUUUUAAACUUCUUUUAUAUAAGAGUAAUGUGCACUACGUGUAGUGUAUUGCAAGUAUUAUAUGAAUAAGCAUCGGCUAACUCCGUG